This 298-nucleotide ribosomal RNA is filed under the name uncultured bacterium. RNAcentral describes it as "partial 16S ribosomal RNA". It matches the Rfam family "Bacterial small subunit ribosomal RNA", at positions 475 to 776 of the family's 1533-position model. The record is from RNAcentral.
CUAUGCGCCUUGCCAGCCCGCUCAGGUGUGCCAGCCGCCGCGGUAAUACGGAGGAUGCGAGCGUUAUCCGGAUUUAUUGGGUUUAAAGGGUGCGUAGGUGGUUAAUUAAGUCAGCGGUGAAAGUUUGUGGCUCAACCAUAAAAUUGCCGUUGAAACUGGUUGACUUGAGUAUAUUUGAGGUAGGCGGAAUGCGUGGUGUAGCGGUGAAAUGCAUAGAUAUCACGCAGAACUCCGAUUGCGAAGGCAGCAUACCGGCGCCCUACUGACGCUGAGCACGAAAGCGUGGGUAUCGAACAGG